This 253-nucleotide ribosomal RNA is filed under the name uncultured bacterium. Its description in RNAcentral is "partial 16S ribosomal RNA". It matches the Rfam family "Bacterial small subunit ribosomal RNA", at positions 524 to 776 of the family's 1533-position model. The record is from RNAcentral.
UACGUAGGGGGCAAGCGUUGUCCGGAUUUAUUGGGCGUAAAGAGCGUGUAGGCGGCCAGGUAGGUCAGCUGUGAAAACUCGAGGCUCAACCUCGAGACGUCGGUUGAAACCACCUGGCUAGAGUCCGGAAGAGGAGAGUGGAAUUCCUGGUGUAGCGGUGAAAUGCGCAGAUAUCAGGAAGAACACCCGUGGCGAAGGCGGCUCGCUGGGACGUGACUGACGCUGAGACGCGAAAGCGUGGGGAGCAAACAGG